UCCUAGGUGGGAUGGCCGGAGAUUUCGGCAAGUCGGAAUGCCAGAAAAAGACGGGGACAAUCCUCGUGGGGACAGCUGUGCUUGGGCAGAUUGGGGCAUCAUUCAGUAGUGGUGGGCUUCUCCUGGAUUGGUGUGAAUCACUGGGCGUCUGCCACAGAGUAUCUGCGGAAUCGGCUGGUAGUCUUUUGUCACUCAAACCGGUUCACGGGGCCAUGCUUCACUUCGGAUGUGUGACGGCAGAGUCCUUGGUCCCAAGCUGAACAAAUGGGCCCUUAGGCGCAGUCUCAGUGGGCAGCCCCCGAGCGGGUGUGCAUGUGAACCUCUAUCUCCUGUCUUUCUUCUUUGCUUUUUCCAGGAAGUUUCAAACUUGAAAGUGUGUCAAGGAAAUACGCGCUUCACAUCCUGAGCCCCUUCUCUGAGGCGUAGUGGACUUUGGUUAUAUUGCUGGAGGUCUGCUUCCAGCCUGAGCAGCCACUCCCAAUCCCAGUGGACGUGCAGCGAAGAAGGCUUCAGUUGGGGAUGGCUUUGUGUCCCCUAGCUGUGAAUCCGUUGAAGGCUGUACUUCGUCUUUGUACAUGGAAUGAUCGCCUGCUUGAGCUGUCUUGAGGAAUUGGCCUUCCUUCCGUGGGGGAGUUGCAGUGGUUUGCCGGCCGCCUGCCGGGAUGGCAGAUGUCCAUUUCUUCGGAGGGUCAGAGCUUCUGCAGAUCCUGGAAUCAUUGUGUCCUGCUGUGCUCCCCGUCCUGGUGGAUGUCUCCAAAUGCUUGGAGAGUGGAGUCCUGGAGCUCGGUGAUGCGUCCCUGGCUUGUGCGGGGUGCUGGUGGCAUUUCAGGUCAUCCCGUUGCCCACUGCCCAUCAGUCAUCCUGGGGCGUUCCGUUUUCAGGGUUUGGGCAUGUGCUUGGAUCGAUGAUGAGUUUCUCAUAUAAACAUUCCUUGGAAAGCUGAACAAAAUGAGUGAAAACUCACAACCGUCGUUCUCAUCGGUACUGAGGUCCAGCACUUUGCCACUACCACGGCCUGCUGAGUGAUCUUCAAGUUGAACGGGUCCCCAUUCCUCCUAUCUUCCAGGGCACCAGCUUGGAAAGUGUCGCAGGAUACUUGCGUUAGACAA
Molecule: long non-coding RNA, 1109 nt
Organism: Carlito syrichta (Philippine tarsier)
Lineage: Eukaryota; Metazoa; Chordata; Mammalia; Primates; Tarsiidae
Exons: 3
Source: RefSeq, a predicted model, not a curated record